AUGUUGAUUGUACCGAACGAAGGAUUUGCCUUAUCACGAAAGCCACAUUCGUUUCGUUUGAGGAAGUCACACGUCCUGUUCCCUAUAAAUAAGGAGAUUCGUUCUUUUUUUUUCAGAAAUCCCCUCUUCUUCCUCCUCAAGCCCCUAUCACAAGACCAAGCGGAUCUCAUCCUGCAGAAGACUCAGAGCGGAUCUAUCUAA
Molecule: ribosomal RNA, 201 nt
Filed under: Triticum aestivum (bread wheat)
Lineage: Eukaryota; Viridiplantae; Streptophyta; Magnoliopsida; Poales; Poaceae
Description: partial small subunit ribosomal RNA
Source: RNAcentral